UGCGGCCGCGAUUCCGGUUGAUCCUGCCGGACCCGACUGCUAUCGGGGUGGGGCUAAGCCAUGGGAGUCGUACGCCCCGGUGACCGGGGCGUGGCGGACGGCUGAGUAACACGUGGCUAACCUACCCUCGGGACGGGGAUAGCUC
This 145-nucleotide ribosomal RNA is filed under the name Thermoprotei archaeon. Its description in RNAcentral is "partial 16S ribosomal RNA". It matches the Rfam family "Archaeal small subunit ribosomal RNA", at positions 1 to 132 of the family's 1478-position model. Lineage: Archaea; Thermoproteati; Thermoproteota; Thermoprotei. The record is from RNAcentral.